AAUACGUGAGCAACUUUCCCUUAAGACAGGGAUAGCUUCGUGAAAACGGAGGUAAUAUCUGAUAAUAUCUUUUAACCGCAUGGUUUUUAGAUUAAAGGCGGGGAUCUUCGGACCUGCCACUUAGGGAUGGGCUCGCGUCCUAUCAGCUUGUUGGUGAGGUAAUGGCUCACCAAGGCGUAUGACGGGUAGCUGGUUUGAGAGAAUGACCAGCCACACUGGGACUGAGACACGGCCCAG
This 237-nucleotide ribosomal RNA is filed under the name uncultured bacterium. RNAcentral's name for it is "partial 16S ribosomal RNA". It matches the Rfam family "Bacterial small subunit ribosomal RNA", at positions 112 to 334 of the family's 1533-position model. The record is from RNAcentral.